Molecule: ribosomal RNA, 443 nt
Filed under: uncultured bacterium
Lineage: Bacteria
Description: bacterial SSU rRNA
Rfam family: Bacterial small subunit ribosomal RNA
Source: RNAcentral
ACGAACGCUGGCGGCAUGCCUAACACAUGCAAGUCGAACGAACUUUCUGACUUCGGUUGGGGAGUUAGUGGCGCACGGGUGCGUAACGCGUGGGAAUCUGCCCCUUGGUUCGGAAUAACAGUUAGAAAUGACUGCUAAUACCGGAUGAUGUCUUCGGACCAAAGAUUUAUCGCCAAGGGAUGAGCCCGCGUAGGAUUAGGUAGUUGGUGGGGUAAAGGCCUACCAAGCCGACGAUCCUUAGCUGGUCUGAGAGGAUGAUCAGCCACACUGGGACUGAGACACGGCCCAGACUCCUACGGGAGGCAGCAGUGGGGAAUAUUGGACAAUGGGGGAAACCCUGAUCCAGCAAUGCCGCGUGAGUGAUGAAGGCCUUAGGGUCGUAAAGCUCUUUUACCAGGGAUGAUAAUGACAGUACCUGGAGAAUAAGCUCCGGCUAACUCCGU